UGCCAAGAAGCUGGAUACUGGAGAGUCUGGGGGAGGCUAAAAUGAAGUCGUAAUAAGUCAGGUCCUGGGUCCCCUAAGAAGUCCUGUCCAGGAGCGGCUCCAGGCCACAGUGAGAAAGAAAGAGGGAGAGAGAGCAAGAGCCUACCUGCCUGAAUGUCCCUGGCUGUGUGUCCAGUUGUACUCCAAGGCUAAAUAUAUUAUUCAAGGCCCUGCUUUUUGGUGCCUGCCAUUGGUCAAACCUAACCCGAAGCCAGAGGGCAAGGGAACCUGUUGAUGCAGUCCACAAAGGUCAGCCUACCAGGGCACACAGCUGGGUGGAGAAGGGUAAAGAAGAUCUGGAGGGGCGCAUGGAAAAUAUCCAGAACCGCUGGAUAGCUC
This is a long non-coding RNA of Pteropus alecto (black flying fox), 378 nucleotides long. RefSeq lists it as uncharacterized. Lineage: Eukaryota; Metazoa; Chordata; Mammalia; Chiroptera; Pteropodidae. The transcript has 3 exons. The record is from RefSeq and is a predicted model, not a curated record.